This is a long non-coding RNA of Acanthopagrus latus (yellowfin seabream), 449 nucleotides long. RefSeq lists it as uncharacterized. Lineage: Eukaryota; Metazoa; Chordata; Actinopteri; Spariformes; Sparidae. The transcript is spliced from 2 exons. The record is from RefSeq and is a predicted model, not a curated record.
GUUUGCCCAAUCAGAGGUAGAGACGUCACACUUCCGGUCUGUCUCCUAUGGCCCCAGUCAGCCAGCAGCUCUCUGUUUGUCCACCGACAUGCUGACGGUCGGACGCUUCGUGUGAGCAGCAGAUAAAUAAAAUUCCCUCUAUGGCUUCUGGAGCGGGUCCGAGAGCGACGGGCACAGCCGGCAGCGACUUCCAGCACCGGGUCGCUUCACCCGACCAGAUGAGGUCCGUUCUUUUUGCUGUUCCAGUCUCAUCCCUCAGAGGGAAGUGAGACUGUGAGAAACAUCAGAUCCACCUGCCUCAUAGGUCUGCAGCCAACACAAUUUCAGAUGCUCAUUUUUGCCACUUUUUAGAAGUGAAGUGUUUUGUGCUUAGCUUUAGCAUCCAGUGCUAGUACCUGUCUGAUAUGAAAUAAAAACACCAUGUUUGAUUCAGUUGUUUUUGAGCCAGA